CACAGGAAGACUCUGAACUCACCUCCUCCACAGAAUACACCAAUGAUACCUAGUAAUAGACCAGUUCCUCCUAAAAAGAACUGAUGGUUGAACAACCAAAGCCAGAACGGCAAGAUAACAGCAAGAGAGAGGGAGACGUGCAACGCUGGAUGGAUCAUGAAAACAGGAUCAAGCUGUGUAGAAGUACAGGAUGCAAGUGUUAAAAACAUCGGUCAGCAUCUUGGUUUACCCCAGGUACUGUGAGCCACACCCAUCCACACCUACUUCUAGAUGGCCCUCCUUCCAGGGUGUCAGGAACCUUCCAGACAGCUACUUCCACAAGCAAACUUCAGAAGUUUUCAAGCAAUCACUUAGGAAAUGAAAACAUGGUGCUGAGCAAAACAAGCAUGAUGCCUGCCUUCAAGGAAGCUAGUGGACAAGACAAGCAUUAAACAAAUGAUCCCAUAAAUAGAUUCAUAAUUGUGAAUCUUGAUAACUGCUUUGAAGGAAGAGUCUGAGGCGAUGUAAGAGAGCACAGUGGAGAACUGACUUUGUCACACACAUGCCCACAAACUGAUUAAUGCUUAAGUCACAGCCUUACCACUGGAAUCCCUUUCUGAGAAUAUUUUUGAAUUUGCUUUCAGUGGAAUUUUCAUCAUGAAAGCAUUCCCCGCCCUGCCCGUGUUCACCAAGGACACACUAUAUUAAUAUUUACAACUAGUAAUAAGCCUCAUAAGGUUAAACCUUUUGGAAACAACCAGCUUUUCAUUCUA
Molecule: long non-coding RNA, 752 nt
Organism: Mustela erminea (ermine)
Lineage: Eukaryota; Metazoa; Chordata; Mammalia; Carnivora; Mustelidae
Exons: 3
Source: RefSeq, a predicted model, not a curated record